CGGGGGGAGCAAGCGUUGUUCGGAUUUAUUGGGCGUAAAGGGCGCGUAGGCGGCUCUUUAAGUCAGAUGUGAAAACCCAGGGCUUAACUCUGGGAGUGCAUUUGAAACUGAAGAGCUCGAGUGCAGGAGAGGUAAGUGGAAUUCCUAGUGUAGCGGUGAAAUGCGUAGAUAUUAGGAGGAACACCAGUGGCGAAGGCGACUUACUGGACUGUAACUGACGCUGAGGCGCGAAAGCGUGGGGAGCAAACAGGAUUAGAUACCCUGGUAGUCCACGCUGUAAACGAUGGAUACUAGGUGUGGGAGGUAUCGACCCCUUCCGUGCCGCAGUUAACGCAAUAAGUAUCCCGCCUGGGGAGUACGGCCGCAAGGUUG
Molecule: ribosomal RNA, 372 nt
Filed under: uncultured organism
Description: bacterial SSU rRNA
Rfam family: Bacterial small subunit ribosomal RNA
Source: RNAcentral